GAGGAUAUAGGUCAUUGGUAGAGUGCAUGCCUUGUGUGCACGAGGUCCUGGGUUCAAUCCCUGGUACCUCCG
This 72-nucleotide transfer RNA is filed under the name Camelus bactrianus (Bactrian camel). It matches the Rfam family "tRNA". Rfam says of the family: Transfer RNA (tRNA) molecules are approximately 80 nucleotides in length. Their secondary structure includes four short double-helical elements and three loops (D, anti-codon, and T loops). Lineage: Eukaryota; Metazoa; Chordata; Mammalia; Artiodactyla; Camelidae. RNAcentral also lists the same sequence under 2 other names. The record is from Rfam by way of RNAcentral.